RNAcentral lists this ribosomal RNA (678 nucleotides) under Flavobacterium sp. RNAcentral describes it as "bacterial SSU rRNA". It matches the Rfam family "Bacterial small subunit ribosomal RNA", at positions 60 to 739 of the family's 1533-position model. The record is from RNAcentral. Lineage: Bacteria; Pseudomonadati; Bacteroidota; Flavobacteriia; Flavobacteriales; Flavobacteriaceae.
AGUCGAGGGGUAUUUGUCUUCGGAUAGAGAGACCGGCGCACGGGUGCGUAACGCGUAUGCAAUCUACCUUUUACAGAGGGAUAGCCCAGAGAAAUUUGGAUUAAUACCUCAUAGUAUUAUGACUCGGCAUCGAGAUAUAAUUAAAGUUCCAACGGUAAAAGAUGAGCAUGCGUCCCAUUAGCUAGAUGGUAAGGUAACGGCUUACCAUGGCAACGAUGGGUAGGGGUCCUGAGAGGGAGAUCCCCCACACUGGUACUGAGACACGGACCAGACUCCUACGGGAGGCAGCAGUGAGGAAUAUUGGACAAUGGGCGCAAGCCUGAUCCAGCCAUGCCGCGUGCAGGAUGACGGUCCUAUGGAUUGUAAACUGCUUUUGUACGGGAAGAAACACCUCUACGUGUAGAGACUUGACGGUACCGUAAGAAUAAGGAUCGGCUAACUCCGUGCCAGCAGCCGCGGUAAUACGGAGGAUCCAAGCGUUAUCCGGAAUCAUUGGGUUUAAAGGGUCCGUAGGCGGUUUGGUAAGUCAGUGGUGAAAGCCCAUCGCUCAACGGUGGAACGGCCAUUGAUACUGCCAGACUUGAAUUACUAGGAAGUAACUAGAAUAUGUAGUGUAGCGGUGAAAUGCUUAGAGAUUACAUGGAAUACCAAUUGCGAAGGCAGGUUACUACUAGUGGA